Molecule: small nucleolar RNA, 87 nt
Organism: Syngnathoides biaculeatus (alligator pipefish)
Lineage: Eukaryota; Metazoa; Chordata; Actinopteri; Syngnathiformes; Syngnathidae
Product: small nucleolar RNA SNORD35
Exons: 1
Source: RefSeq, a predicted model, not a curated record
UGCGCGUGAUGUUUAUUUCUCACGAUGGUCUUCGUAGGCUGCAAGGCCAUGACGACAAUGCCAUUUUGGCAAAACUGAUGCAGCAGA